Molecule: transfer RNA, 70 nt
Filed under: Camelus bactrianus (Bactrian camel)
Lineage: Eukaryota; Metazoa; Chordata; Mammalia; Artiodactyla; Camelidae
Also listed under: 2 other names
Rfam family: tRNA
About the family: Transfer RNA (tRNA) molecules are approximately 80 nucleotides in length.
Source: Rfam by way of RNAcentral
GGGUGUAGCUCAGUGGCAGAGUGCAUGCUUAGCACGCACGAGGUCCUGGGUUCAAUCCCCAGUACCUCCA